Molecule: ribosomal RNA, 444 nt
Filed under: uncultured bacterium
Lineage: Bacteria
Description: SSU rRNA
Rfam family: Bacterial small subunit ribosomal RNA
Source: RNAcentral
AGAUUGAACGCUGGCGGCAUGCCUUACACAUGCAAGUCGAACGCCCCGCAAGGGGAGUGGCAGACGGGUGAGUAACGCGUGGGAAUCUACCCAGUUCUACGGAAUAACACAGGGAAACUUGUGCUAAUACCGUAUACGCCCUACGGGGGAAAGAUUUAUCGGGAUUGGAUGAGCCCGCGUUGGAUUAGCUAGUUGGUGGGGUAAUGGCCUACCAAGGCGACGAUCCAUAGCUGGUCUGAGAGGAUGAUCAGCCACACUGGGACUGAGACACGGCCCAGACUCCUACGGGAGGCAGCAGUGGGGAAUAUUGGACAAUGGGCGCAAGCCUGAUCCAGCCAUGCCGCGUGAGUGAUGAAGGCCUUAGGGUUGUAAAGCUCUUUCAGUGGGGAAGAUAAUGACGGUACCCACAGAAGAAGCCCCGGCUAACUUCGUGCCAGCAGCCGC